GAAGAAUUGGAAACUUAUGGGGUGAAAACUGCAAAUUCGGAGAAAAAGUGGGCCAAAAGUGAAAAAAUCAGAUUUCUGAAGAAUUGAAGACCGCGCGGCCGUGCGGAUUUCAAGCAUAAAUCUCACACGGCCGUCCGGAUGGUCGAGGUGGCGCAGUGAAGGAAUUUUAAUUACACAAGGAAACCCGCCCUAUUAUAUUUUUGCACCCUAUUUAAAGGCCAAAAACACACAAUUAGGAAUCAUCUUUUUAAUCUUUUAUCUUUAGUUUUUAUCUUUCAUCUUUCUACACGCAAUCAAGGAGCACAAGAACGAAGACGAAGAUUUGACGACUCUUCAUCAUAGUUCUCCUCUUUUAUUAGCUUUUAUGAUUUUUCGUAUUUUUAUUAUGCUUUUCGUAGAGAACAUGAG
RNAcentral lists this long non-coding RNA (408 nucleotides) under Erythranthe guttata (spotted monkey flower). Its description in RNAcentral is "long non-coding RNA (EGUT_LNC001038)". The record is from RNAcentral. Lineage: Eukaryota; Viridiplantae; Streptophyta; Magnoliopsida; Lamiales; Phrymaceae.